Dama dama (fallow deer) is the source of this 1162-nucleotide non-coding RNA. NCBI's taxonomy places the organism in Eukaryota, Metazoa, Chordata, Mammalia, Artiodactyla, Cervidae. The record is from the annotation of a RefSeq genome assembly.
CCUUCCACAGCCCCCACCAUGGCCUCCACCACAGCCCCGAAAGUCUACCCUCUGGGUUCUUGCUGCGGGGACGCAUCCAGCUCCACCGUGACCCUGGGCUGCCUGGUCUCCAGCUACAUGCCCGAGCCGGUGACCGUGACCUGGAACUCAGGUGCCCUGACCAGUGGCGUGCGCACCUUCCCGGCCGUCCUGCAGUCCUCCGGGCUCUACUCUCUCAGCAGCAUCGUGACCGUGCCCGCCAGCACCUCAGGAUCCCAGACCUUUACCUGCAACGUAGCCCACCCGGCCAGCAGCACCAAGGUGGACAAGCAUGUUGAGGCCAGAUGUUCGGACCCCUGCAAAAAUUGCCGAUGCCCAGCCCCUGAGCUCCCCGGAGGACCGUCUGUCUUCAUCUUCCCCCCGAAACCCAAGGACACCCUCACAAUCUCUGGAACGCCGGAGGUCACGUGUGUGGUGGUGGACGUGGGCCAGGAUGACCCCGAGGUCAAGUUCUCCUGGUUCGUGAAUGACGUGGAGGUGAACACGGCCAGGACGAAGCCGAAAGAGGAGCAGUUCAACAGCACCUACCGUGUGGUCAGCGCCCUGCCCAUCCAGCACCAGGACUGGACUGGGGGAAAGGAGUUCAAGUGCAAGGUCUACAAUGAAGGCCUCCCGGCCCCCAUCGUGAGAACCAUCUCCAGAACCAAAGGGCAGGCCCUGGAGCCACAGGUGUACGUCCUGGCCCCACCCCGGGAAGAGCUCAGCAAAAGCACGGUCAGCCUCACCUGCCUGAUCACCGGCUUCUACCCAGACUACAUCGCCGUGGAGUGGCAGAGAAAUGGGCAGCCUGAGUCGGAGGGCAAGUACGGCACGACCCAGCCCCAGCUGGACGCCGACGGCUCCUACUUCCUGUACAGCAGGCUCAGGGUGAACAGGAGCAGCUGGCUAGAAGGAGACAGCUACACGUGUAUAGUGAUGCAUGAGGCUCUGCACAAUCACUUCACACAGAAGUCCAUCUCUAAGUCUCCGGGUAAAUGAGCCACACGUCCCUGCACCAGCAAGCCCUCACCCACCCCACCCCCCCGGGCUCCAGGUCCAGCCAGGACCCCCCAGCCCCUCCCUGUGUGCAUUCCUCCUGGGCCGCCGUGAAUAAAGCACCCAGCGCCGCCCUGGGACCCUGCAA